GUGGACCUACCAAAGAGGCAGCAACAGGUCUCCAAGAUAUUUUGGAUUAGGAUGGAUUUUUAUGUGAUAAUUCCUGUCUUGUCCUGGGGAGAUGUCUCAGAGGCUAAGAGCACAUACUGCUCUUCCAAAGGUCCUGAGUUCAAUUCCUAGAACCCACAAUGGGCAGCUCACAACCAACUGCAGUUCCAGCUCCAGGGAACUGCCAUGCCUUUGACCACAAGGGUACCUGGAUACACGUGCACAUGCUCCCGUACGUCAUCAAGAAUAAUAAAAAAAAAAGUCUUAAAAAAGAUGUUUGUUCAAUAAGGCAUCAAAACUACACCUCCAUGCUUUUAUAUGCAAGAAUGAACCUUGCUCUGCAACUGAACUUUGUAAUUUAAGAGUCACCCAGGUGACAAUGGUUUUAAAGACAUGAAGGGAUCAUGGGGAACAGCUGAGGUUUGCAAAUGUGUAGCAGGGCUAGAGUUUCUAAAGAGGGCCCAGUCGCAAUGUGGACCUUAGCAGUUUUAGAAAUGCCAAUGCCAUGUGACAGUCACCAGAAACACCAGCCACAGUGAAAUGGAGCAGGCUCAGAUCUAGAAGGCGGGCUGUGUACAUGCUGCCGAGGGUGGGGCCAAAGAGGUGAUCCAAGCCUCUCAAGAGAUCCAAAAGGUGAAUGAUCCCAGAUGCUGAGCUUUGGAUUGUUUGUGCUAUUGGAGUGCGGUUUUGCCCUGUGCAGAUUGUGGUUGGGACGUUUUCUCCCUCUUGAAAUAAAAAAAGGGUAGCUGGUGCCUCCUUGUGACCUCUGAAGAUUACCACAGCUCUGGAAAAAUACAAACGCGUGGAUAACCGCCAUUUUUGGCCGAGGUCAAAAUAAAAACCUCAGCACCAUCUUUGGUAAGAGCACCCACUGUGCUAAUCCUACCAAGGAGACAUUCUGCCUCCAAUAUACUUUGAUUUACUAAAAUAUUCCUUCUAAUCUUCUUGCCUCUACUAGCAUUGAUGAAAUAAACUAUAUGUCUAAAUUUAACUUAUGUCUAAUUUAUAUAUACCUGACAGAAAAUGGUACCCUAAUUCUCAAGUGCCUUUACUGAUCCGAGAGUAUGGCAUUUAACAAAAGAGCUUCUUAUGACAGAGACAUGCCACCUCCUGCAGAAUCCUAUAGUUCCUCCAAAAAGAUGCAUGAUUGCAGAAGAUCCUCUGCCUGGAGGUUUGCCUUUGGAUAUGGCAAAGUCACCCACACAGCAAAAACCUGCCUUCCACUUCAUCAGCUUCCUAGAUACUGCAUUGGGGGAUUGAACAUCUCAUCCUGCCCAGACAGGUAGGCGGAACCCUACCCCCAACAGGAAAAUCCAUCCUGCCUCCUGGGCUCAGCUGCUAAAGGCAUGUACUGCUUCUAAGACUUUUAUUCACCAAAGACUACGGAGAGACUUGGGAUUGCCUACAUAGCUAAAAAAAAAAGCUCUUAUUUCUGCUCAUUUAAUCUGUCUGAUGAUAUUUAAUGACUUAAGGUACUGGUAGCUCAUUACUUCAUUUGUUAAGUUUCCUGCUAAAAAUACAGACAAGUGGGCCUCUUUCACAGGCUUUAUAGUUCAGGGUUAACAGGUUUCAGGUGUAUCUUCAGAGGUUCAGCGUUUCUGAUUUCCUUUAUCUGAUCUGGUAAAAACAAUCUCCAGAGCCUAUUUAAACCCCACCCAUUUCCAAGCAUAUUUUACAGGUCACUCCUGCUGUCUGGGCCAAGACCAACUUACAGAGGACCUUCUAGAAAAUGCCAACGCCUACACUGACUCCUGGAACUUCACCAUUGGUACCACCACUCCUGACACCUACCCAACAACUAAAAUCUGGUUUUAAAGGGCAUAUCUGCCCUUGUGACUCACUUGUUCACCCAUGCCUCUCCUAUACAACCAGGGUACAUACUAUCUCAUUCUUUCUGACAAUUGAUGACCCUUCCCAUAGCUAGCCCAUUCAUAGGGCCAAUAAUAACAAUCUAUUUUUUCUGCUAGCCACCUGCCUUAUCUCCCUCAAGGAACAGAUGCCUGAGGUCUCCAGGAUGUCAGUUAGCCAGAUGCCUCUCCAGCCAUACUUCCUGCUGAGUGUGAGCCCACCAACUCCCAACUCUCUUCCCACACACCAUUCCAUACCUGCAGGAAGUAGCCCAACUUGAGCUGGCACCCCUAUACCCAAAGAGUCUGGGAUGUUGGGUGUAAGCAUCACCCCAGCCCCUGGCACCCCUAUACCCAAAGAGUCUGGAAUGUUUGUGUCAAGGCUUCACCCCAGCCCCUGGCAUCCAUAUACCCAAAGAGUCUGGAAUGUUUGGAUAGAAAUUUCCAUCCCAAGCCUCUGCUGGGGAGUUGCCUCAGUCCAGACUCCACCUCUGAGAAAGCCUGCCAAUUGAUGACCCCUCCCCAGAGAUGCUCAAGACCACUCCCACAGGGUAUUUAAACAGCAACCUAGAGGACAAACACAUGGUUUUCUGGUCUUCCUUCCCCAUCUCCUCCCUGAGGGCCUGGAAGGCCACCUGAGCACUGGUAUCCAUUAAACCUGGGCUUUUUCUGAUUCUGUUUGA
Molecule: long non-coding RNA, 2548 nt
Organism: Arvicola amphibius (Eurasian water vole)
Lineage: Eukaryota; Metazoa; Chordata; Mammalia; Rodentia; Cricetidae
Exons: 3
Source: RefSeq, a predicted model, not a curated record